AACGCGAAGAACCUUACCAAGUCUUGACAUCUGCCUGACCGCACCUUAACCGGUGCUUUCCUUCGGGACAGGCAAGACAGGUAGUGCAUGGUUGUCGUCAGCUCGUGUCGUGAGAUGUUGGGUUAAGUCCCGCAACGAGCGCAACCCUUAUCCCUAGUAGCCAGCAGUGAGAUGGGCACUCUAGGGAGACUGCCAGGGAUAACCUGGAGGAAGGUGGGGAUGACGUCAAAUCAUCAUGCCCCUUAUGAUUUGGGCUACACACGUGCUACAAUGGCGUAAACAAAGGGAAGCGAAGGCGUGAGCCGGAGCAAAUCUCAAAAAUAACGUCUCAGUUCGGACUGUAGUCUGCAACUCGACUACAUGAAGCUGGAAUCGCUAGUAAUCGCGAAUCAGAAUGUCGCGGUGAAUACGUUCCCGGGUCUUGUACACACCG
This 433-nucleotide ribosomal RNA is filed under the name uncultured bacterium. RNAcentral describes it as "bacterial SSU rRNA". It matches the Rfam family "Bacterial small subunit ribosomal RNA", at positions 958 to 1392 of the family's 1533-position model. The record is from RNAcentral.